UUUAUGGCAUCCCCUCAUUGAGUUUUCAGAAAUAUCUCAUGAACUGAAGACAAUAUACACGAAUGACGUUUCAUGAUUUCUCAACCACUCCUAAUUUGAUUUUAUUUGAUUUGCUGUGCCUCAACUUUGUUAUGAACAUACCUAUUAAGAGAGUCUCAUUGCUAUUAUCAUGAACGCCCGUUUGGCAAAGGAUGAUGCGGAGUUGGGAUUGAGGUUCAAACAGCAACUGUGCCAUUUGUAUCAAGAUCAUAGAAGAAAGUGUCGGGCUUCAUUUCCAAGUGUUUGGUACCCACUAGCAUCUUUAAAGGAAUAUGGAUAUGAAUUGUAUUGUUCAAAGGAGGUCUUUGUCACCAAUCAUUUAAAGUAAUCCUAAUCGUGUAUCAAAGUGGUUUUUAUAUUCUUUCUCGGAUAAUAGAUUAUAACAAGGUAAAGGUCUCAACUCUCAAGAUGUUGUCCAGGAUUGCAUUUAAUAAUAACAAUACUUGCUGUGAGG
Long non-coding RNA from Arachis duranensis, 493 nucleotides. RefSeq lists it as uncharacterized. The transcript is spliced from 3 exons. NCBI's taxonomy places the organism in Eukaryota, Viridiplantae, Streptophyta, Magnoliopsida, Fabales, Fabaceae. The record is from RefSeq and is a predicted model, not a curated record.